UCACUCCUCUUUCUAGGUAAAGAUGUCUUAAAGAGUACAGUUUCUCAACAUAUCUGAUCCAGGGACGGUAUAAAAGAAAACAUGAACAUCCAGAACAGCAUCACAAGAACUUUCCUGAUCCUCUGCUGAAGCUGCAAAGACUAGACUGAGGGAAAUCAUGCUGAAGUUAGCUCUGGUGCUUGGAUGCCUCCUGAGUCUCACUCUGGCUCAACCUAUGGAGCAUCAGAGAUUUGCUCGUUCCAAACAUGGGCAUCAUCACUCUGGGUCGAACUCACAUGAGGCAACCACCACUACUGCAACAACAACUGUUGCAGGAGCAACAACUGUUGCAGGAGCAACAACUACACCAUCACUGAGCCAGCUGAUUCUGCUCAUCCAGCAACUUCUCAACAGAGCAAGAUAAAGUCUGACAUGGAAAAUUGACUUUCAAUGAAUUGUUGACAUUGCUUCUCCUUAGAUUUGCUCUUGUGAAAAUUCUGUGACACAUGUUUUGUUGUUGCUCAGAAUGAACAUCAAUCUGAUAUUAUAGCUGUCUUCAAAAUCUCACAACUAUAAUAAAUGUUAAACAGCAAAC
Molecule: long non-coding RNA, 574 nt
Organism: Oryzias latipes (Japanese medaka)
Lineage: Eukaryota; Metazoa; Chordata; Actinopteri; Beloniformes; Adrianichthyidae
Source: RefSeq, a predicted model, not a curated record